This is a non-coding RNA of Malus domestica (apple), 984 nucleotides long. Lineage: Eukaryota; Viridiplantae; Streptophyta; Magnoliopsida; Rosales; Rosaceae. The record is from RefSeq and is a predicted model, not a curated record.
UGUGACUUUCGUUAAAAGUGAACAAUACCGAUAAUAUUUUGUUAAAACUCUCAAAAAUUAAUAGAGAGAUUUGGGAAUUAGGGUUUAAGAUUUAGCAGACACUGGGAUUUGUGAAUUAGGGUUUUAUCACUGCGGCAUUUCCGUCGCCAACUCUCCUCACGACGAUUGCUCCUCCAACUGCAGGUGCAACAACGAUAUCUGACGGUGCAUCGGAGAAGCAUUUCAUGGCAUACUCUCAAGGCCGCAAUUUCUUGUUCUGCGACUUGUGUGGGAGUUUGCUAAAUUUGAAUUCAAAUAAGUAUGCUCAAUGCCCUCUCUGCAAGUUCCAGCGAAAUGUGAAAGAGAUAUCCGGAAGAGAAAUAUCUUACAAAGUCACUGCUGUGGAUAAUCAUUCUAGCCAUCGUCUGUGUGUACUUUAUGUGUGCACACUAAAUUGAGUUGUCGUGGUUCGCACAUGUACUAUGAUUUGCCGACAUUCACCUCUCCCAUACCCUGCGUAAAGCGGGAGCCUUGUGCACUGAGUACGACGAUAUUUUCUCAUGCCCCUUUUACAAUAUUCGAAAAUAUACGAUAUUAGAAGAGAUCUAGGCAUAUCAAUAAUUCCAGAAGAGAAGGUGCAAUUGCAAAAGACAGAUGCUAAAACGUGUGAAAAAUGCGGCCACAAUGAGCAUACAUAUUACUCCCGACAGAUGAGGUCGGCAGAUGAAGGGGCCACUACUUUCUAUGUGUGCACCAAUUGCCAGCACCAAUUUACUGAGAAUUGAUAUAUACCGGAGAUUGGAAGAGAUUAUGGGACAUGUUCCUAACAACUCUAAAGAUUUAUGCCUUGUAUUGAGUGUAUAUUUAAGAUUUAACAGAUAUGAGAUCAAGGUUUGAAGUCAUACCGAACGUGUUUUUUCACCAACACAGAUUUGUCAGCUAUAAGAUUUAUGAUUCUGUGGUUUUGCUUCCGCCAUAUUAAAGGGGAAUAUGAUUGUGCCGAAA